RNAcentral lists this ribosomal RNA (206 nucleotides) under Salmonella enterica subsp. enterica serovar Hadar. RNAcentral's name for it is "partial 23S ribosomal RNA". It matches the Rfam family "Bacterial large subunit ribosomal RNA", at positions 471 to 679 of the family's 2925-position model. The record is from RNAcentral. Lineage: Bacteria; Pseudomonadati; Pseudomonadota; Gammaproteobacteria; Enterobacterales; Enterobacteriaceae.
UACUCCUGACUGACCGAUAGUGAACCAGUACCGUGAGGGAAAGGCGAAAAGAACCCCGGCGAGGGGAGUGAAAAAGAACCUGAAACCGUGUACGUACAAGCAGUGGGAGCACCCUUUGGGGUGUGACUGCGUACCUUUUGUAUAAUGGGUCAGCGACUUAUAUUCUGUAGCAAGGUUAACCGUAUAGGGGAGCCGGAGGGAAACCG